Molecule: long non-coding RNA, 171 nt
Organism: Armigeres subalbatus
Lineage: Eukaryota; Metazoa; Arthropoda; Insecta; Diptera; Culicidae
Exons: 3
Source: RefSeq, a predicted model, not a curated record
UUUCAUUACUUUUGAAGAUUUGUUACGUUUUAUUCCGACAACCCCCUAAAAAUGGUUUUUCCAUCAUAGCUUUUUUAUUUUCAAUUCUACAUUUUUUGCAUUGCAGGAAGCCAGAAACAAAGAUUGGAAAAGAUAUCGAGAACUCAACAAGCAACAGACAAGCAACGAACC